GUGCAUUUUUAGUUGCUAACCCCGCCCUCUUGUCAUGUCACAUGAUCUAGCCUAGCUUUACUUUGCGGUUCAGUGUUUGGUAAAUUACAUAGCACAAUUUUGUUAUUUUCCUACAGGUUCUUUAGCGAUUAGUCCCACCUGGCUAAGGUGCAAUGUCGUCGUGGGGACAAGGCGACAGACGGCCUCAACUCAAACGGAGGUCAUGAGGAGUUAGACCAACAGCAUGACUACUCCGGUAACAACGUGGACUAUGAAGGAUAUCAACAAAAUGCUUCUCUCAAGGUUUUACAAUCCAGCUGACAACCGUAGUGCCCUCUACCAGCGGUUCUACAAGCAACUUCACAAGGCACCUGCUGGCUGUGUGGUCCUGUCUAUGAGCAACAAGAGCAUGCGAGUACCUCACCUUCAAGCAAAUAGGGAAUAGCCAUGGGGAUUACCCCAAACCGAUAGGUCACUGUUUGCAGGACCACGGCCUCUCCGUGGAAAUGAUUUACCUGCAGGCGGAGUCGGGCCUGACCCGGGCCCUACAAGAUCUCCGCUCCGACGGUUCCCCCUUAUGUAUUCUCGUCGAAUAGACCAAUGUAGCUCUGUCCUCGUGCACAGUAAUCAUAUUUUCACAAUCCCGCAAUCCAUCGCAACAUGCCCAAGGACCAUGCCAUGGACUUUGUGAUGGCGGAGAAUGGCCGUGGGCUUGGGAAGCAGAUGCAGCAGAAGGACCCUGCAGAAACGGGGGCGCGCGGGCGGUCGAGCUUGUGGAUGACUACCUAGAAAGGGAGAAGGUGGAGAAGCAUGCUGUGCCCUCUGACACGCGCCAGCUGCUCUUCUUCCUGGCCGAUGGAGUCCACCUGUACCCUGAGGAGCUGAGCACCAUUGCAAAGUAUCUCCACAACCGCCAGGACCAUCUGCAAGCCACGUCCACUGAGACAUCUGAUGGCCCCCUUCCUGAGAGGACGAAGAUGUUGCCUCCUGGUUUAGGGAAACCCCCACCGCUGCUACCCACCCCUUCAGGCCCUCGUGGCAGAGAGACACCUCCUGGGAUGAGAGAAAUAACUGUUAUAAAACUAGAAAUGUUCUACAGGACAAAUGGGCAUUAGAUG
Molecule: long non-coding RNA, 1097 nt
Organism: Oncorhynchus tshawytscha (Chinook salmon)
Lineage: Eukaryota; Metazoa; Chordata; Actinopteri; Salmoniformes; Salmonidae
Exons: 6
Source: RefSeq, a predicted model, not a curated record